CCGAUGGAGGGGGGUAACUACUGGAAACGGUAGCUAAUACCGCAUAACGUCGCAAGACCAAAGAGGGGGACCUUGGGCCUCUUGCCAUCGGAUGUGCCCAGAUGGGAUUAGCUAGUAGGUGGGGUAACGGCUCACCUAGGCGACGAUCCCUAGCUGGUCUGAGAGGAUGACCAGCCACACUGGAACUGAGACACGGUCCAG
Molecule: ribosomal RNA, 201 nt
Filed under: uncultured bacterium
Lineage: Bacteria
Description: partial 16S ribosomal RNA
Rfam family: Bacterial small subunit ribosomal RNA
Source: RNAcentral